CCCACCCCUGAGCGGCGGGUGGGGGCCUAAAGUAAAAAAGGGGGAGAGGACCUAUUGUCCUCCCCACCCACCGCUCAGGGGUGGGUGGGGGCCCUAAAUAAAAAUUGGGGGGGGGACCUAAUUUCCUCCCCCCUGGCCCCCACCCCUGAGUGGUGGGUGGGGGCCCUAAACAAGAAUAAGUGGGGGGGACCUAAUGUCCUUCCCCCCUGGCCCCCACCCCUGAGCGGUGGGUGGGGGCCCUAAAUAAAAAUUGAGGGGGGGGGACCUAAUGUCUUCCCCCCUGGCCCCCCACCCCUGAGCGGUGGGUGGGGGCCCUAAGUACAUUAGGUCCCCCCACCC
This is a non-coding RNA of Pelobates cultripes (western spadefoot toad), 339 nucleotides long. Lineage: Eukaryota; Metazoa; Chordata; Amphibia; Anura; Pelobatidae. The record is from the annotation of a GenBank genome assembly.